RNAcentral lists this ribosomal RNA (465 nucleotides) under Vreelandella stevensii. RNAcentral's name for it is "partial 16S ribosomal RNA". It matches the Rfam family "Bacterial small subunit ribosomal RNA", at positions 338 to 795 of the family's 1533-position model. Lineage: Bacteria; Pseudomonadati; Pseudomonadota; Gammaproteobacteria; Oceanospirillales; Halomonadaceae. The record is from RNAcentral.
CCUACGGGGGGCUGCAGUGGGGAAUAUUGGACAAUGGGGGGAACCCUGAUCCAGCCAUGCCGCGUGUGUGAAGAAGGCCCUCGGGUUGUAAAGCACUUCCAGUGAGGAAGAACGCCUGGUGGUUAAUACCCAUCAGGAAAGACAUCACUCACAGAAGAAGCACCGGCUAACUCCGUGCCAGCAGCCGCGGUAAUACGGAGGGUGCGAGCGUUAAUCGGAAUUACUGGGCGUAAAGCGCGCGUAGGUGGCUUGAUAAGCCGGUUGUGAAAGCCCCGGGCUCAACCUGGGAACGGCAUCCGGAACUGUCAAGCUAGAGUGCAGGAGAGGAAGGUAGAAUUCCCGGUGUAGCGGUGAAAUGCGUAGAGAUCGGGAGGAAUACCAGUGGCGAAGGCGGCCUUCUGGACUGACACUGACACUGAGGUGCGAAAGCGUGGGUAGCAAACAGGAUUAGAUACCCUAGUAGUC